This 925-nucleotide ribosomal RNA is filed under the name uncultured archaeon. RNAcentral's name for it is "bacterial SSU rRNA". It matches the Rfam family "Archaeal small subunit ribosomal RNA", at positions 1 to 919 of the family's 1478-position model. The record is from RNAcentral.
UCCGGUUGAUCCUGCCGGAAGCCACUGCUAUUGGGGUUCGGCUAAGCCAUGCGAGCGGAGGGCGCGGUCGCAAGAUCGUGGCCCCGCACACGGCUCAGUAACACGUAGUCAAUCUACCCUCGAGUCUGGGACAACCUCGGGAAACUGAGGACAAUCCCGGAUGGGCGAUGGACGCUGGAAUGCUUCAUCGCCGAAAGCUCCGGCGCUCGAGGAUGAGACUGCGGCCUAUCAGGCUGUUGGUGGUGUAACGGACCACCAAACCUACGACGGGUAUGGGCAAUGGGAGUUGGAGCCCAGAGAUGGGGACUGAGACAAGGCCCCAGGCCCUACGGGGCGCAGCAGGCGCGAAAACUCCGCAAUGCGCGAAAGCGUGACGGGGGAACCCCAAGUGCCGUUGGUCUUUUGAUCGACGGCUUUUCGGAAGUCUAGGAAGCUUCCGGAAUAAGGGCUGGGCAAGUCUGGUGCCAGCCGCCGCGGUAAUACCAGCAGCCCAAGUGGUGGUCGCGUUUAUUGGGCCUAAAGCGCUCGUAGCCGGGCCUGUAAGUCCCUUGUGAAAUCGGGCGGCUCAACCGUUCGGCUUGCAAGGGAGACUGCUGGCCUUGGAACCGGGAGAGGUCGGAGGUACUUCAGGGGUAGCGGUGAAAUGCUGUAAUCCCUGGGGGACCACCAGUGGCGAAGGCGUCCGACUAGAACGGAUUCGACGGUGAGGGGCGAAGGCUGGGGGAGCGAACGGGAUUAGAUACCCCGGUAGUCCCAGCUGUAAAGGAUGCGGGCUGGGUGUCAGGUGCCCUUCGAGAGCACCUGGUGCCGUAGGGAAGCCGUUAAGCCCGCCGCCUGGGAAGUACGGUCGCAAGGCUGAAACUUAAGAAAUUGGCGGGGGAGCACCACAAGGGGUGGGACCUGCGGUUUAAUUGGAGUCAACGCC